Molecule: ribosomal RNA, 513 nt
Filed under: uncultured Glomeromycotina
Lineage: Eukaryota; Fungi; Glomeromycota
Description: SSU rRNA
Rfam family: Eukaryotic small subunit ribosomal RNA
Source: RNAcentral
AGCAGCCGCGGUAAUUCCAGCUCCAAUAGCGUAUAUUAAAGUUGUUGCAGUUAAAAAGCUCGUAGUUGAAUUUCGGAAUCUGUCCAUCGGUCGGGCUUCACUGUCCGUACUGGUGUGGUGGGUUCUUACCUUCUGAAUAACCAGCAUGCCAUUCACUUGGUGCGUUGGGGAAGCAGGACUAUUACCUUGAAAAAUUAGAGUGCUCAAAGCAGGCCAGUGCCUGAAUACAUUAGCAUGGAAUAAUAAAAUAGGACGGCAUGGUUCUAUUUUGUGGUUUCUAGGAUCACCGUAAUGAUUAAUAGGGAUAGUUGGGGGCAUUAGUAUUCAAUUGUCAGAGGUGAAAUUCUUGGAUUUAUUGAAGACUAACUUCUGCGAAAGCAUUUGCCAAGGAUGUUUUCAUUAAUCAAGAACGAAAGUUAGGGGAUCGAAGACGAUCAGAUACCGUCGUAGUCUUAACCAUAAACUAUGCCGACUAGGGAUCGGACGAUGUUAAUUUUAAUGACUCGUUCGGCG